UUUUUUUUUUUUUUUUUUUUUUUAGGGUUGGGUGUUUUACUGUUGAGCUGCUCAGUGCCCAGCUUAGAGGACCAGGAAAAGGAGUCACCGGCCGUAUGCUGGAGGCUUGAGACACGGCACAGAGGCGCAGCUCGCCUCGCUAUGGUUGGUGGUGGCAGUGGAGAUUGCGAUUGCAGCGCGGCUGGAAGGUCCUUUAGGUUGUUUGAGGGACAUUGAUCAAGGAAACCGGAGAAACUUAAAAUGCUCUUCCGCUUCUUUGGAACAGUCACAGAGAAAAGUGAACUCCUUUCAUUCUUGCAGUAAUUUUUCUUGCUGAUGGGAACAGUUCAAGUCAAGUGACAUGUGAGGAACAUUUUGUGUUUAACAUUUUGAAAGAACAAAGAGGAACUACAGAAUCAUUGCUUACAUUGACACCGGCCCUGUUGUCCCAAUGGAUGGGUUUUUUUUGGAUGAACGUCAAAAUUGACCCUGCUGUUAAAGCUUGAAACUUGGAUCUGUUGUAUCUGAGUUCUCUCCUCAAAAAAAGACCUUCAGGAAGUAUCAGAUAACUGAAACAUACCAGAUCACAGCACCACAUGCCUCCUGCCCCUCCCUAAUUUCUGUUCUCUUAUACAUUGUUAAAUUUUUUUCCUGCCCCUAUUAGUCAAGCCCAUGGAUUUGAGACUGAGCUUCCAGCUCCUGGGCCGCAGCACCAGGUUAAAGCUUUCUUCCUUGGCAGUACUUGUCACCUCAGUGACUGGCUUUUUCUCCGAUGAGCAGGAGGACCUGGACGAAACCCCUAGUGUUUGGUCAAGGAACUUGAUGCUCCCUAAAUCCAAAUAUUACGGUUAAAAGAAGAGAGAGGAAAUGUGUGCAGAGAAAGUGUAUUUUACAAAUGAAUUAAAGGUGGAUUCUGAGAUACAGGUUUAUAGAUUUACCUAGAGUUUUGAGUUCAGGAAGCCAUCAUUCUUUAGAGGGCAAUGACCAAACAGUACCAGCAGAAAUUGAAGUACCAGCAGAAGGCUAAGAAGGGAUCAUGGCACAAGCUGCAGUUUCCACCCUGCCCAUUGAAGAUGAGGAGUCCGUGGAAGAUGAGGAGUCCGUUGAAGAUGAGUCUGUUGAAGAUGAGUCCGCAGAGAACAGGAUGGUGGUGACAUUGCUCAUAUCAGCUCUUGAGUCCAUGAACUGCUCUACACUUGGCCUGUGCCAGUGGCCAUGUGCAAGUGGUCACUCUCCUGGUUAACAGAAAAUGCCAGAUUGAUGUCUGUGACAAAGAAAACAGAACGCCUUUGAUACAGGCUGUCCAUUGCCAGGAAGAGGCUUGUGCCGUUAUUCUGCUGGAACAUGGCGCCAAUCCAAACCUUAAGGAUAUCUACGGCAACACUGCUCUCCAUUAUGCCGUGUAUAGUGAGAGCACCUCACUGGCAGAAAAACUGCUUUCCCAUGGUGCACAUAUUGAAGCACUGGACAAGGACAAUAAUACCCCACUUUUAUUUGCUAUAAUUUGCAAGAAAGAGAAAAUGGUGGAAUUUUUAUUGAAAAGGAAAGCAAGUUCACAUGCCGUUGAUAGGCUGAGACGGUCAGCUCUCAUGCUUGCUGUAUACUAUGACUCACCAGGUAUUGUCAAUAUCCUUCUUAAGCAAAAUAUUGAUGUCUUCGCUCAAGACAUGUGUGGACGAGAUGCAGAAGAUUAUGCUAUUUCUCAUCAUUUGACAAAAAUUCAACAACAAAUUUUGGAACAUAAAAAGAAGAUACUUAAAAAGGAGAAAUCAGAUGUUGGAAGUUCUGAUGAAUCUGCAGUCAGCAUUUUCCAUGAACUGCGUGUGGAUUCAUUGCCUGCAUCGGAUGACAAAGACUUGAAUGUUGCUACUAAGUGUGUCCCCGAGAAAGUGUCAGAGCCUUUACCUGGAUCUUCGCAUGAAAAAGGAAACAGAAUAGUCAAUGGACAAGGAGAAGGGCCUCCUGCAAAACAUCCUUCCUUGAAGCCUAGCACUGAAGUAGAAGAUCCUGCUGUGAAAGGAGCAGUACAAAGAAAGAAUGUACAGACAUUGAGAGCAGAACAAGCCUUACCAGUGGCUUCAGAGGAAGAGCAAGAAAGGCAUGAAAGAAGUGAAAAGAAGCAACCACAGGUCAAAGAAGGAAAUAAUACAAACAAAAGUGAAAAAAUACAACUUUCAGAAAAUAUAUGUGAUAGUACAUCUUCUGCUGCUGCUGGCAGAUUAACCCAACAAAGAAAGAUUGGGAAAACGUAUCCUCAGCAAUUUCCCAAGAAGCUGAAGGAAGAGCAUGAUAGAUGCACCUUAAAACAAGAAAAUGAAGAAAAAACAAAUGUUAAUAUGC
Molecule: long non-coding RNA, 2319 nt
Filed under: Homo sapiens (human)
Lineage: Eukaryota; Metazoa; Chordata; Mammalia; Primates; Hominidae
Description: novel transcript
Source: RNAcentral